Molecule: ribosomal RNA, 945 nt
Filed under: Oxyuris equi
Lineage: Eukaryota; Metazoa; Nematoda; Chromadorea; Rhabditida; Oxyuridae
Description: large subunit ribosomal RNA
Source: RNAcentral
UGUGGGGUGAGGCUUUGUUUUAGUUUUUUGUGUAGUAUUUUUUAGUAUUGCAUACUAGGAUGGGAGAGUGUUUUUUAGAUGAUUAAUGGAAACUGCUUGUAAAUGUUUUUUUUUUUAUUGUUUUAAGAUAAUGAAUAGAAAAUAUGGUGUUGAUAAGGCGUGGGUAGUUAUAACUGUUUUGAUUUGUAUGUAUAGUAAUUUUGUUGUUUAGGUUUGUAGUUUUGUUUUGGUUGUUGUUGAGAGUGCUUGUGUUUGGUGUUUAAUAAUGUGGAAGGUAUUGUUUUUUUUUUGUUAGUGGGGGUUUUUCUAUUUUAUUAGUUUGUUUAUAAUUUUUUUUUAAGUAGAGUGUUUUUAUUUUGUUUGGUUGUUUUUAAUUUUGGUGAGGUAAUUUGGAAGCUGGUCAUAUGUUUUUUAAAGACUUAGGUUUUUUUUUAAAGCUGGCUUCUGCUCAAUGAGUUUUUAAAUGGCGGCCUUAGCGUGAGGGUGGUAAAGUAGCAUAAUAAUUUGUGUUUUUAAUGGGCUCUGGUAUGAAUGGAGUUUUUGGCUGGGGAUGUCCUGUUUUUUGUUUUGAAUUAGUGUUAUGUUUAAGAAUAAAUUAUGUUUAUUUAAACUAAGAUAAGUCUUCGGAAAUUUUUUUUUGUGUUUUUUAGGGUAAAAUUGUGUGUAUUUUGUUUAGUCUAGUAUUAAUUUUAAAAGUUACUCCGGAGUUAACAGAAUGUUAUUUUUGAUAUAGUUGUUAUAUUAGAAAAAAUAUUACAUCGAUGUUGUAUUUUUAUUGAUGAGUGAGUAGAAGCAUUCAUUUUUGAGACUGUUCUUCUUUGAUUAAAUAUGACGUGAUAUUAGUUUAAUUCAUCGUGAGAUAGAAUUGUUUAUCUAGUUAAUUUUUUGGGUUGGUGUUUUAUUAGUACGAAAGGAUUGUUGAUAGAGUUUAAAAUUUUUUUUUUU